Molecule: long non-coding RNA, 738 nt
Filed under: Marmota monax (woodchuck)
Lineage: Eukaryota; Metazoa; Chordata; Mammalia; Rodentia; Sciuridae
Source: RNAcentral
AUGUUUGCCAGCUAAUAUUUUCACCUAAACUCUGAAUCAGAGAAGCGUUUUCUUAGUAAUUUUUAAACGUAUCUGCAGUAGCUAUAACUGUCUUAAGAUUAUAGAAGCCUAAUAGACACUGUUCUUAUGCUGUAAGGGUUAACAAAAUAUCUUUCUUUUCCAACAAAUAGAUUGAUAAAUGUGACAAAAUUUCUCCUUUGGGGAUCACCAUGGUUUAAAUUAGUUCUUCCAUUGGAGAAAUAUCUGUUCUUUUUCAUCUUCUUUAAGUCUAUUUCUUUGUCUGAAUUAUUUACUUCAUAAAUUCUUCUUUUCUCUUUUAUUUUUUUGAAAUGGUCCCUGAAACACUUUCUAUGGUUCCCCUUCAAACUUUAGCAUACCUUUUCAAUCAAAUAUUUAUUCAUGUUCUUUGGCCUGAAUCUCAUCUUCAAAAUUACACUCAAGGCAGGGAAUUUCUCUUGUUCAACAAAGAGAUGGUGUCACUGCAUUUCUAAAACAUCCUUUUCUUUUAUGAAUAUAUAUAAUUUCAAUCAGAUUUUAGAACUAUGGACUACAAGUGUGUUUUUAACUUCUUUUGUAUCUCUCUGCCCUGUAGCUCUUAUUCCACAAAGUAAAUAUCAAUAAUCACUUCUUUUUGUAGUACUAGGGAUUGAACCCAGGGCCUCAUGCAUAUUAGGUAAGCACUCUACCACUGAACCACAUCCCCAGCCCUCCAUAAAUAAUUCUAACCCUUCUUUGAAG